AUUGAACGCUGGCGGCAUGCCUAACACAUGCAAGUCGAACGGUAACAGGCCUUCGGGCGCUGACGAGUGGCGGACGGGUGAGUAACGCGUGGGAAUCUGCCUAGUAGUGGGGGGACAACCUGGGGGAAACUCAGGCUAAUACCGCAUACGCCCUACGGGGGAAAGCAGGGGAUCUUCGGACCUUGCGCUAUUAGAUGAGCCUGCGUCGGAUUAGCUUGUUGGUGGGGUAAAGGCCUACCAAGGCGACGAUCCGUAGCUGGUUUGAGAGGACGAUCAGCCACACUGGGACUGAGACACCGGCCCAGACUCCGUACGGGAGGCAGCAGGUGGGGAAUUAGUUGGACAAGUGGGGGCAACCCUGAUCCAGCAAUGCCGCGUGUGUGAAGAAGGCCUGCGGGUUGUAAAGCACUUUCGGAUGGGAAAGAAAAGCUCAAGGCUAAUAUCCUUGAGUCUUGACGUUACUAUCAGAAGAAGCACCGGCUAACUCUGUG
RNAcentral lists this ribosomal RNA (491 nucleotides) under uncultured bacterium. RNAcentral describes it as "bacterial SSU rRNA". It matches the Rfam family "Bacterial small subunit ribosomal RNA", at positions 30 to 507 of the family's 1533-position model. The record is from RNAcentral.